This 482-nucleotide ribosomal RNA is filed under the name uncultured bacterium. RNAcentral describes it as "partial 16S ribosomal RNA". It matches the Rfam family "Bacterial small subunit ribosomal RNA", at positions 36 to 507 of the family's 1533-position model. The record is from RNAcentral.
CUUUCCCUCUUUCUUCCUGCUUUACACAUGCAAGUCGAACGGUAACAGGCCGCAAGGUGCUGACGAGUGGCGAACGGGUGAGUAAUUCAUCGGAACGUGCCCAGGCGUGGGGGAUAACUACUCGAAAGAGUAGCUAAUAACGCAUACGAUCUAUGGAUGAAAGCGGGGGACCGUAAGGACUCGCGCGAUUGGAGCGGCCGAUGUCAGAUUAGGUAGUUGGUGGGGUAAAGGCUCACCAAGCCAACGAUCUGUAGCUGGUCUGAGAGGACGACCAGCCACACUGGGACUGAGACACGGCCCAGACUCCUACGGGAGGCAGCAGUGGGGAAUUUUGGACAAUGGGCGCAAGCCUGAUCCAGCAAUGCCGCGUGCAGGAAGAAGGCCUUCGGGUUGUAAACUGCUUUUGUACGGAACGAAACGGCUCUGGUUAAUACCCGGGGCUAAUGACGGUACCGUAAGAAUAAGCACCGGCUAACUACGUG